This is a non-coding RNA of Ictidomys tridecemlineatus (thirteen-lined ground squirrel), 1695 nucleotides long. NCBI's taxonomy places the organism in Eukaryota, Metazoa, Chordata, Mammalia, Rodentia, Sciuridae. The record is from RefSeq and is a predicted model, not a curated record.
GGCUAUUGUAAAUGGGGUAGUUUCCCUUUCAGAGGAUUUAUCACUGAUAUAUAGAAAUGCCUUUGAUUUAUGGGUAUUGAUUUUAUAUCCUGCUACUUUGCUGAAUUCAUUUACUAGUUCUCAAAGUUUUGAGGUGGAAUUUUUUGGAGGGAUAACAGGAACAUAUCUCAACCUCAUAAAGGCUAUCUAUGCCAAGCCCCAGGCCAACAUUGUUCUAAAUGGAGAAAAAUUGAAAGCAUUCCUUCUGAAAAUGGAACAAGACAGGGAUGCCGUCUUUCACCAAUUUUACUUAACAUAGUUCUUGAAACACUGACCAGAGCAAUUAGACAGCCUUUGGUUCUUGAUGAACACAAGGCAAAAUAAUUGUUUGUUUCAUUCAUCUUUUGAAGUCAGCCUCUUUCAAAAAUAGAAGAUGGGCUUGAAAUAGCAUGACUACAGGGCACUUAAAGAAGUAACUUUCCAGUUAAGAACACUGUAGAGAUUCAAGAACAACCUAAAGUCUAGCUUUUAACUCUCUUCAACUCAAACCAAAAAAUUCUGGCAGGGUUUCUCUUGUAUCAUGUGAUUUCCUAGAAUUCUUACCAAGUGAAAUCUUUCCUAAUUAGUUUGUUAUUUUAAACUAAAUAAAAGAUAGUAUACUUUCUUUUAAUAUUAAAAAAACCCAUAGAUCCUUUUACUAAUUUAGGCUCAAGAAUAAAGAGUAUACUUUGCUUACCUUGAUUUCUAAAUUUGAGUCCUUCAGUUUCAUGAUCAUUUUUGAGGGGUAAAUUGUGAAUUAUGCAUUCAUUUUGCAGCAAUAUUAUGGACCUGACCUGUGAGAAUUCUGCGAUACAUAGAGGAAAUUUUCAAAGAUGUGAAAACUGAGGCUACAAACAAUGUGAGAUUCUAGUCCCCUGAGCUUACUGCCAACCCCUCCCAGAAGAGGAUGCUGUGCUGUGUGAAGGUUAAGCUGGAAGUCACAUUAUGUUUUCUGAGUCCCCUUUACUACUAAUUUUUGGGUCUUCAGCAGUUUCUUGGGUGUCUCAGAUAUCCUUCUGAUCUAGUGGUAUGUAGAAAUAUAAAGCUAGCACUACUACUUCAGUACAAUAUAGAAUAACUGUCCUGUAUCAUGCCUUUAAGAUGCUAGAUAUUCCAGAAUUUUGGCCAUUCAAGUGAAGUGAAAAUAGAUUUCUGGAUUAUAUUGAAAAAGAUUCCCUAAAGGACUGUAUAGAAAGUCACAUCAUUCCUAAAUGUAAGAUAUUGGAGGAAAACAAGCUAUAACACUAUAAAUCUUAAUUUCUAAGGCUCUCAUAUAGGCCGAGACAUGGUCAAGAGGAUAGGAAGAAUUGCAGUUUUUCAACUGAAUGAUGUUGCUAUAUAACUACAGAAUUGGAUCUUAAGCAUUCUAGGUCCUAAUUCAUACCUGGGUAUUUCUCAAUUUGCUCACGUGCAUAGGGAGAAAAAUACUUUUUUUUUAACAAAACUAUUGACUUUGUCAGAACUAUAUUGCCCUUCUUAAAUGUCACACUUGAUACUAAAUUAUGUAAUUACUAUGUAAUUACUGAGGAGUCCAGUGCACACAACCAAGUUAUCAUCCUCAGGAUCUUCAGAAUUCUAAAGGCACGUGUUGGAACACAUCCGGUCCUGUAGAUAAGCAUUUUUCUUUUACUAAUGAUCUGUACAUUUAUCUUAAAUAAAAGUUUAUUUUUGAGAUAA